Molecule: long non-coding RNA, 2154 nt
Organism: Tachyglossus aculeatus (Australian echidna)
Lineage: Eukaryota; Metazoa; Chordata; Mammalia; Monotremata; Tachyglossidae
Exons: 5
Source: RefSeq, a predicted model, not a curated record
CCAAGGAGACAAGUGGCAGAGCCGGGAUUUGAACCUCUGUCUCCCAAGCCCGUGCUCUUGCCAAUAAGCCAUGAUUGUUGUUGUUAUGAUUGUUAAUAGUACUUACAGACCAGCCACUGGCUAGAGAGAUGAUCCUUUGUCUCAGGUAGGUCUUGUGUUUCAGGCAAGACCAGUGAGGUGAUCAGGUCCUGGGCCUGAAUUUUAACUGGACCUUUUCCAGGCCGUUGGCUCUCUAGCCUUGCCCCUCCUGCUGAGGAGUCGGAGAUCCCGCUGGAAGCCCAGCGUGGGGUGGUCAGCCACGGGGUCCUGCCUGGAUGGAUCGGGCUGGAGUCGGUCACUCAGUUAAUCACAUUUAUUGAGCACUUACUGUGUGCAGGGCACUGUACCAGGCGCUUGGGAGAGUUCAACAUAGCAGACGGGGUCAUUGUUUGUGGGCUCUGCGGAGGGAGGAUGUUCCAGGUCAGAGGCGAGAGGUUGGCGGCGAGAUAGACGAGACUGAGGCACUGUAAGAGGAGCGAAGCGUGCGGUUGUAGCAAGGUGAUUUGCCCAAGGUCAGAGUGGUUCCAGUCCAGUGAGAGGAGCGUGCCCAGGCUGGGCCUGGGAGAGGACAAGGGAAGGUGUUCUAUUUUCCUGUUUUCCUGGAGGUAGCCCUGGCAGGCCCGGCCUGGCUCGGCUGAGCUUCGGGCGGUACCGGCUCCCGGGUGGUCACAACCUCCCCCAAGAUGGGGGGGUCCCUUGCUGGGAGGAGGGCCCGAAACCCAUCCGGCUUUCCUGGGGUCCAAGGUGCUAGGAGUGGCGGGGGCCGGGCCCAGCCCAGACGCAAGUCCCAACCCGAGGACUUAGGACGGGAGCAGACGCGUCUGGCCUCGGACACAUCGCCCAGCCCCUUCUUACCGAGGGGCACCACGAGAAGACGGGUUGGGGACCGGGGUGGGGGACCCAGCUCUCUGCACCCCAUCGCGACUGUCCAAGGCAGCAUCUCCUGCCCUGCCACCUUGGAAGCUCCAACUGUUUCCAUCUGUCCUAGGUCGCGCCUCCGUCUCUUCCCUUAGCCCUCAGAGCAGCUGGAGUCACACGGGGAACCUGCGGAGGUCACCCAAUAGGUGGUUUCUCUCAUGGCUCGAUGGCAUCCGAUGAUGAGAGGAUACGGGGGAUUCACAAGGCACUUUUCAGGAGUGAUGAAAAAGAACUGGAAAAGCUGUUUUGGAGCCCAAGGAACCCAUUCCAGACUUCACCCAUCCCUUGAAGGAACAGUCAUAUUGCGAUUGGUUUCCGUGGUGCUGACUCCCACCGGCUCGGCUUCGGGACCCCCGGAGCCGGAAGGAUCUAUUACGUGAGUAACGUACACGUGUAUACACACACACCCCUUCGUUCUGAGAUCCUGAGGCUGAAAACUGGUUCUGGGAGUAACGGAGCCAAAAACUAGGAUACGUGGAAAAAGCCGGGAGCACCUGUUUUCUUCCUGCCCUCUAUUUUGGGCUCCGGGACCCCCCACACGUUAGACGGAGAAACCGAGGCACAGAGGACACUGCCAAGGCCUGCACAGACGGCAGCUCCCACUUUCUCACCUCUCAACCCCCGAAUGGUGUGCUCUUCUCCAGCGCAUCCACGGGCAUGAAAAGAAAUUAAAGGCAGCAACUAUCACUGAGCCUCAGUACAGACCGAGGGAGGGCCUAAACCUGAGCAGCUGAGCAUCCCAGACCUCCCUCCUUGGGGGAAAAUGCACUUCUCCUGCGUCCCUCCUCUGUCCCGGCCUGCCACUUUAAGCCUGAGGCUGCGCAGACCCAGAGCCAGCCGAGUCCAGGCCUCCCGGGUGGCGGGGCCGAAGGCGGGGCCCAGGCACUUCUCCAGCAUGUACAGCAGGGACUCGCCCACCGUCUGCGGAGGCAAGCGACACGGGCACAGCUUUUCUACUUAGGGCAAAUGUUUGGAUCCCGGCGCUCAGACAGACAGCAGCUUGCGAACUCUACGUGCCCGUGCGACGGACGGGCCUUGGAGAUGCCCCCCAACUGGGGCAGUUCACAGACACACGGGGAUGGAGUGAGGAUAGGGGGCCUCCCCAUUCCAGCUGGGACCGGCCUGGAAGAGUCCCAGACUGCUUCCACAUCUGACAGAUGAGGUGACUGAGGCACAGAGAAGCCAAGCGACUUGCCC